CGAAUCCGGGUCCGUCCGCCCUGAUUCUGGUUCGCCCUAGUUUCUGUUCGCCCUAAUACCUGUUUGCCCCGAGUCCGUUCGCCCUGAUUUUAUUUUUUAGUAUAGUGUUGCGUUGUGUGUAUAUAAUUGAAUGUGUUGAAGUCAGUCUACAAUUUCGCCGAAUAUUUACGAUGUAUCAUGUUAACUUGUCUAAAGCUAGCUGCUAUACUAUAUAUAAGUUUCAGUACAUUUCAGGACUACAAGAUAUUGUGACUUCAAGGUAUUGAGGACUAAGUUAAUUUGUAUCUGUAUGUAUAAUUACGUUACUAGGAACGGUCCUACUAAAAAGCGAUCCGGGAAAAGAAAAAGCGCCCGGAGAAGGAAAAUUAGCGCCCGGAGAAGAAAAUUAGCGCCCGGGAGAAGAAAAUAAUAAUAUUUUUUAACAAUUUUUUUUUCCCCUUAAAAAAUAACUAAUCAUUGCUUGUUUUGUCCUUAAUAUAAAUGGGGAUAUGUACGAUGCU
Molecule: long non-coding RNA, 500 nt
Filed under: Mytilus galloprovincialis (Mediterranean mussel)
Lineage: Eukaryota; Metazoa; Mollusca; Bivalvia; Mytilida; Mytilidae
Source: RNAcentral